CCAGCUUGCAUAUAACUUUUUUCCCUUUCUGACCCUUGAACAGCACCAAGAACACAGCAGGCCAGGGUAUCCAGCUGAGUAAGUGGCAGCUAGGAACAGAGGUCAGGAACACAGAGGGGGCUUUGUGAAAAAUAUCCAGCAUUCUGCUAUUUCAAUAACCCUGUCCUGAGCAGUGAGGCCCACAUGCAGUACAGGAGGAAGGGGGAGGUUUGAGAGGGAAAAAUGAGCUCACCCGAGCUCCCAAUGGCAGAGGCCAAGCAGCCAUUGCCUUCUCCUUC
RNAcentral lists this long non-coding RNA (278 nucleotides) under Homo sapiens (human). RNAcentral describes it as "HSALNT0098770". Lineage: Eukaryota; Metazoa; Chordata; Mammalia; Primates; Hominidae. The record is from RNAcentral.